GGAAGGAAGGAAGGAAGGAAGGGAGGGAGGGAGGGAGGGAGGGAGGGAGGGAGGAAGGAAGGAAGGAAGGAAGGAAGGAAGGAAGGAAGGAAGGAAACACAUUAAAAAGAAAUCCUAAGAUAAUGCUCCCUUUCCUUCUUUCCUAUCUAGGUCACUGAGCCACCAUCUCUUGUUAGCACAAAUGCCUAGAAUCAACAGAGGACACAGGACAUUGUAAGAUGCUGUGGAAAGUGUAGGCUGUUCGGAAAACCACCUAGCAGCUCCCAAAAGGUUCAACAACCACAGAAGGAAGAGCCACAUAACCCAGGGACUUGGACCUCCAGCACUCAGAACCCGGCCUAGACCCAAGGCUCUCUGGAUAAGGUCCAGGUAAACUGCCCGGAGGACACUUCUGUUCUCCGGAAGCUUUCGAUGGAGGCCUCAGGAAAAAGCAGACAAGAAAACGCUAGCGGCUGGCAACAAAGGCGAGAUAAUUACCACCUCUAAAGAAUGGGCUACUGAGUCAGAGAGGACUUCUGGUUUCCCAAAAUAGGCCAGAGUCUGUCUGUUCUCUUGGUUUGCCUCUGGUAGGUCAAGAGUCAGGAGUUUAAAAGGCUUCAGGUAAGAAAUGUUCCUUCCAUUUUCCCUGUCCAUCCCCAGGCUCUGUUCCUGGAGACGAACGGUUCCAUUUUGCAAGAAUCCUUUCCAAGAGAUUCUAAUCAGAUCUGAGUGAAGAGCCUGUCUCUGUAUUCUCUUCACUGAAGACAUACCUGCCCCAUGCAUACCCUGUUCGUUGUCGACAGACAUCCAUCUCCAAGGAAUAUAUGUGCACAGCGAAGGAAUUGUGGGCACUGCCUCUUCCAGUUUGACAGCAAGUGUCUUUUACCUUCUCAGCCAACUGAGAACCCAGAAGAGUUGCUUUUCAAAGCUGAGCUCUGACUAAUAAUAAAACUAGAAACAAC
RNAcentral lists this long non-coding RNA (941 nucleotides) under Mus spicilegus (steppe mouse). Its description in RNAcentral is "lncRNA (ENSMSIG00000024149.1)". Lineage: Eukaryota; Metazoa; Chordata; Mammalia; Rodentia; Muridae. The record is from RNAcentral.